AUUGAACGCUGGCGGCAUGCCUUACACAUGCAAGUCGAGCGGCAGCACGGGUGCUUGCACCUGGUGGCGAGUGGCGAACGGGUGAGUAAUACAUCUGAACAAGUCCUGUAGUGGGGGAUAGCACGGUGGGAGCCCGGUUAAUACCGCAGACGAUUUACGGAAGACAGCGGGUGACCUACUGACCUCGGGCCUUAGGGUUCGUCGAUGCCUGGUUCGCUAGUUGGUGGGGUAUAGGCCUACCAAGGCGGUGAUCAGUAACUGGUCUGAGAGGACGAUCAGCCACACUGGGACUGAGACACGGCCCAGACUCCUACGGGAGGCAGCAGUGGGGAAUUUUGGACAAUGGGCGAAAGCCUGAUCCAGCAAUGCCGCGUGUGUGAAGAAGGCCUUCGGGUUGUAAAACACUUUUGUCCGGAAAGAAAUCCUUGGCCCUAAUACGUGCGGAGGAUGAUGGUACCGUAUGAAUAAGCACCGGCUAACUACGUG
This 486-nucleotide ribosomal RNA is filed under the name uncultured bacterium. RNAcentral's name for it is "partial 16S ribosomal RNA". It matches the Rfam family "Bacterial small subunit ribosomal RNA", at positions 30 to 507 of the family's 1533-position model. The record is from RNAcentral.